Molecule: ribosomal RNA, 254 nt
Filed under: uncultured bacterium
Lineage: Bacteria
Description: partial 16S ribosomal RNA
Rfam family: Bacterial small subunit ribosomal RNA
Source: RNAcentral
UACGGAGGGGGCUAGCGUUGUUCGGAAUUACUGGGCGUAAAGCGCGCGCAGGUGGCUCGUUAAGUCAGCCGUGAAAUCUCCCGGCCUAACUGGGAGGGGUCGGUUGAGACUGGCGGGCUUGAGGACUGCAGAGGUGGGUGGAAUUCCUGGUGUAGUGGUGAAAUGCGUAGAGAUCAGGAGGAACACCGGUGGCGAAGGCGGCCCACUGGGCAGUCACUGACGCUGGAGGCGCGAAAGCUCGGGGAGCGAACGGG